UGGGGAAUAUUGCGCAAUGGGCGAAAGCCUGACGCAGCGACGCCGCGUGAGGGACGAAGGCCUUCGGGUCGUAAACCUCUUUCAGCAGGGAAGAAGCGCAAGUGACGGUACCUGCAGAAGAAGCACCGGCUAACUACGUGCCAGCAGCCGCGGUAAUACGUAGGGUGCAAGCGUUGUCCGGAAUUAUUGGGCGUAAAGAGCUCGUAGGCGGCUUGUCACGUCUGCUGUGAAAACUCGGGGCUCAACCCCGAGCCUGCAGUGGAUACGGGCUAGCUAGAGUGCGGUAGGGGAGACUGGAAUUCCUGGUGUAGCGGUGAAAUGCGCAGAUAUCAGGAGGAACACCGGUGGCGAAGGCGGGUCUCUGGACCGAUACUGACGCUGAGGAGCGAAAGCGUGGGGAGCGAAC
RNAcentral lists this ribosomal RNA (406 nucleotides) under uncultured bacterium. RNAcentral's name for it is "bacterial SSU rRNA". It matches the Rfam family "Bacterial small subunit ribosomal RNA", at positions 355 to 773 of the family's 1533-position model. The record is from RNAcentral.